CCUACGGGCGGCACCAGUGGGGAAUAUUGCACAAUGGGCGCAAGCCUGAUGCAGCCAUGCCGCGUGUAUGAAGAAGGCCUUCGGGUUGUAAAGUACUUUCAGCGGGGAGGAAGGCGAUAAGGUUAAUAACCUUGUCGAUUGACGUUACCCGCCGAAGAAGCACCGGCUAACUCCGUGCCAGCAGCCGCGGUAAUACGGAGGCUGCAAGCGUUAAUCGGAAUUACUGGGCGUAAAGCGCACGCAGGCGGUCUGUCAAGUCGGAUGUGAAAUCCCCGGGCUCAACCUGGGAACUGCAUUCGAAACUGGCAGGCUAGAGUCUUGUAGAGGGGGGUAGAAUUCCAGGUGUAGCGGUGAAAUGCGUAGAGGUCUGGAGGAAUACCGGUGGCGAAGGCGGCCCCCUGGACAAAGCCUGACGCUCAGGUGCGAAAGCGUGGGGAGCAAACAGGAUUAGAUACCCCCGUAGUC
This 465-nucleotide ribosomal RNA is filed under the name uncultured bacterium. RNAcentral's name for it is "bacterial SSU rRNA". It matches the Rfam family "Bacterial small subunit ribosomal RNA", at positions 338 to 795 of the family's 1533-position model. The record is from RNAcentral.